This 275-nucleotide ribosomal RNA is filed under the name uncultured Magnetospirillum sp. RNAcentral describes it as "partial 16S ribosomal RNA". It matches the Rfam family "Bacterial small subunit ribosomal RNA", at positions 338 to 630 of the family's 1533-position model. The record is from RNAcentral. Lineage: Bacteria; Pseudomonadati; Pseudomonadota; Alphaproteobacteria; Rhodospirillales; Rhodospirillaceae.
CCUACGGGCGGCUGCAGUGGGGAAUAUUGGACAAUGGGGGAAACCCUGAUCCAGCCAUGCCGCGUGAGUGAUGAAGGCCUUAGGGUUGUAAAGCUCUUUCACCCACGACGAUGAUGACGGUAGUGGGAGAAGAAGCCCCGGCUAACUUCGUGCCAGCAGCCGCGGUAAUACGAAGGGGGCUAGCGUUGUUCGGAAUUACUGGGCGUAAAGCGCACGCAGGCGGUGGUCAUAGUCAGAAGUGAAAGCCCUGGGCUCAACCCGGGAAUUGCUUUUGA